RNAcentral lists this ribosomal RNA (253 nucleotides) under uncultured bacterium. Its description in RNAcentral is "partial 16S ribosomal RNA". It matches the Rfam family "Bacterial small subunit ribosomal RNA", at positions 524 to 776 of the family's 1533-position model. The record is from RNAcentral.
UACGUAGGGGGCAAGCGUUGUCCGGAAUUAUUGGGCGUAAAGAGCGUGUAGGCGGCCAGAUAAGUCCGCUGUGAAAUCUCGAGGCUCAACUUCGAGCUGUCGGUGGAAACUAUCUGGCUAGAGUCCGGAAGAGGAGAAUGGAAUUCCUGGUGUAGCGGUGAAAUGCGUAGAUAUCAAGAGGAACACCUGCGGCGAAGGCGGGUUGCUGGGCUGACACUGACGCUGAAGCGCGAAAGCCAGGGGAGCGAACGGG